CCCGAUGAACCUGAAUAUCCGUUAUGGAAAAUUCAUCAUUAGAAUUGUAAUAUUUAAACAAUAUUAUAAUAAUAGUGUGCAUUUUUUCCAUAUAAGGACAUUGUAAUCUAUUAGCAUAUUAAUUUAUCAUAAAAUUAUGGCAUAUAGUUUAUUUCAAUUAAAAUGCUUGCGUUUUAACAUGAAAUAAAAGCUGUAAAUUUGAUAAAGUGCUGAUAGAUUUAUAUCAAUACAGUGCGUUAAUUUUUCGGAAUUAUAUAAUGGCAUGAUUAUCAUUGAUUUUUGUGUUUAUUAUAUGCACUUGUAUGAUUAACAAUGCGUAAGAUUCAGGAUACCUUCGGG
RNAcentral lists this ribosomal RNA (339 nucleotides) under Drosophila arizonae. Its description in RNAcentral is "eukaryotic LSU rRNA". Lineage: Eukaryota; Metazoa; Arthropoda; Insecta; Diptera; Drosophilidae. The record is from RNAcentral.